GACGAACCGUCCAAACGUUAUUCGGAAUUACUGGGCUUAAAGGGUGCGUAGGCGGCUUGGCAAGUUGGGUGUGAAAUCCCUCGGCUCAACCGAGGAACUGCGCUCAAAACUGCCAGGCUAGAGGAAGAUAGAGGUGAGCGGAACUAAUGGUGGAGCGGUGAAAUGCGUUGAUAUCAUUAGGAACACCUGUGGCGAAAGCGGCUCACUGGGUCUUUUCUGACGCUGAGGCACGAAAGCUAGGGUAGCGAAC
This 250-nucleotide ribosomal RNA is filed under the name uncultured bacterium. RNAcentral's name for it is "partial 16S ribosomal RNA". It matches the Rfam family "Bacterial small subunit ribosomal RNA", at positions 524 to 773 of the family's 1533-position model. The record is from RNAcentral.